GACGAACGCUGGCGGCGUGCCUAAUACAUGCAAGUAGAACGCUGAAGGAGGAGCUUGCUUCUCUGGAUGAGUUGCGAACGGGUGAGUAACGCGUAGGUAACCUGCCUGGUAGCGGGGGAUAACUAUUGGAAACGAUAGCUAAUACCGCAUAAUAGCAGUUGUUGCAUGACAACUGUUUGAAAGGUGCAAUUGCACCACUACCAGAUGGACCUGCGUUGUAUUAGCUAGUUGGUGGGGUAACGGCUCACCAAGGCGACGAUACAUAGCCGACCUGAGAGGGGGAUCGGCCACACUGGGACUGAGACACGGCCCAGACGCCUACGGGAGGCAGCAGUAGGGAAUCUUCGGCAAUGGGCGGAAGUCUGACCGAGCAACGCCGCGUGAGUGAAGAAGGUUUUCGGAUCGUAAAGCUCGGUUGUAAGAGAAGAACGAGUGUGAGAGUGGAAAGUUCACACUGUGACAGUAUCUUACCAGAAAGGGACGGCUAACUACGUG
RNAcentral lists this ribosomal RNA (495 nucleotides) under uncultured bacterium. RNAcentral's name for it is "partial 16S ribosomal RNA". It matches the Rfam family "Bacterial small subunit ribosomal RNA", at positions 28 to 507 of the family's 1533-position model. The record is from RNAcentral.